RNAcentral lists this non-coding RNA (24 nucleotides) under Cricetulus griseus (Chinese hamster). Lineage: Eukaryota; Metazoa; Chordata; Mammalia; Rodentia; Cricetidae. The record is from RNAcentral.
UAGGUUUGGAGACUGUUCUGGAAC